GCCCCCAUCGUCUAGUGGUUAGGACGCCUCCUUUUCACGGAGGUAACGGGGAUUCAACUUCCCCUGGGGGUA
Molecule: transfer RNA, 72 nt
Filed under: Eustrephus latifolius
Lineage: Eukaryota; Viridiplantae; Streptophyta; Magnoliopsida; Asparagales; Asparagaceae
Description: tRNA-Glu
Rfam family: tRNA
About the family: Transfer RNA (tRNA) molecules are approximately 80 nucleotides in length. Their secondary structure includes four short double-helical elements and three loops (D, anti-codon, and T loops).
Source: RNAcentral